UGCCCUAUGAGUUGUUUAAAUGGCCGCAGUAUCUUGACUGUGCAAAGGUAGCAUAAUCAUUUGCUUUUUAAUUGGGAGCUGGAAUGAAAGAGGCGACGAAAUCUAGACUAUUUAAAAUUUAAAAUAAAUUGACAAAUAGGUCAAAAGGCCUAUAUCGACCAAUGGGACGAUAAGACCCUAUAAAACUUUACUCUUUGCGAGGGGUCCUGAUAGAGUUGGCCCCACACCAAAAAGUUUGACUGGGGCGGUAGUUAUAAAAACAAUUAUAUACACAAUAUAUUAAAUAACGUAGUAGAACUCUUUAAGAAAUAGACCAAGUUACUUUAGGGAUAACAGCGUAAUCCCCCCAGAGAGUCCUAAUUGGCGGGGGAGCUUACGACCUCGAUGUUGAAUUGGGGUCUCUUGUGUAAGCAAAAAUACACACGGUCAGUCUGUUCGACUGUUAAACCCCC
Molecule: ribosomal RNA, 452 nt
Filed under: Proasellus franciscoloi
Lineage: Eukaryota; Metazoa; Arthropoda; Malacostraca; Isopoda; Asellidae
Description: partial 16S ribosomal RNA
Rfam family: Bacterial large subunit ribosomal RNA
Source: RNAcentral